This 440-nucleotide ribosomal RNA is filed under the name uncultured bacterium. Its description in RNAcentral is "partial 16S ribosomal RNA". It matches the Rfam family "Bacterial small subunit ribosomal RNA", at positions 338 to 795 of the family's 1533-position model. The record is from RNAcentral.
CCUACGGGAGGCAGCAGUGGGGAAUAUUGUACAAUGGGGGAAACCCUGAUGCAGCAACGCCGCGUGAGUGAAGAAGCAUUUCGGUAUGUAAAGCUCUAUCAGCAGGGCAGAAGAUGACGGUACCUGCUUAAGAAGCACCGGCUAACUACGUGCCAGCAGCCGCGGUAAUACGUAGGGGGCAAGCGUUAUCCGGAUUUACUGGGUGUAAAGGGUUCGCAGACGGCAGGGCAAGUCUGGUGUUAAAGGCCCAGGCCCAACCCCUGUACUGCUCUGGAUCCUUGGAGGCUAGAGUGCUGUAGGGGCAGGCGGAAUUCCUAGUGUAGCGGUGAAAUGCGUAGAUAUUAGGAGGAACACCAGUGGCGAAGGCGGUCUGCUGGGCAGUAACUGACGCUGAGGCUCGAAAGCGAGGGUAGCAAAUAGGAUUAGAUACCCUAGUAGUC